UCAAGCAUUCAAAGAGAAGAAGCCAAGCCGACAAGCAAAGCAACUCGAACUUCUUCUCCAAACUUUAUUGAGUAUUUUUUUCUCUUUUAAACUUCUUUGUUAUUAUAUUUUUUUUUAAGUUCCUUGGGGCAAAAAAACUUGGGUUGGUCCAAACCUGGAGUUGGACAUUGUAUUUGGUUUGAUUGGUAAGCCAAGUGUAAAACCAAUCGAG
This 211-nucleotide long non-coding RNA is filed under the name Elaeis guineensis (African oil palm). Its description in RNAcentral is "long non-coding RNA (EGUI_LNC074406)". Lineage: Eukaryota; Viridiplantae; Streptophyta; Magnoliopsida; Arecales; Arecaceae. The record is from RNAcentral.